Molecule: ribosomal RNA, 717 nt
Filed under: Agaricostilbomycetes sp. AYO-K04
Lineage: Eukaryota; Fungi; Basidiomycota; Agaricostilbomycetes
Description: eukaryotic LSU rRNA
Rfam family: 5.8S ribosomal RNA (bases 174-327)
Source: RNAcentral
GACCUGCGGAAGGAUCAUUAGUGAAUAUAGGACGUCCAACUUAACUUGGAGUCCGAACUCUCACUUUCUAACCCUGUGCACUUGUUUGGGAUAGUAACUCUCGCAAGAGAGCGAACUCCUAUUCACUUAUAAACACAAAGUCUAUGAAUGUAUUAAAUUUUAUAACAAAAUAAAACUUUCAACAACGGAUCUCUUGGCUCUCGCAUCGAUGAAGAACGCAGCGAAAUGCGAUAAGUAAUGUGAAUUGCAGAAUUCAGUGAAUCAUCGAAUCUUUGAACGCACCUUGCGCUCCAUGGUAUUCCGUGGAGCAUGCCUGUUUGAGUGUCAUGAAUACUUCAACCCUCCUCUUUCUUAAUGAUUGAAGAGGUGUUUGGUUUCUGAGCGCUGCUGGCCUUUACGGUCUAGCUCGUUCGUAAUGCAUUAGCAUCCGCAAUCGAACUUCGGAUUGACUUGGCGUAAUAGACUAUUCGCUGAGGAAUUCUAGUCUUCGGACUAGAGCCGGGUUGGGUUAAAGGAAGCUUCUAAUCAGAAUGUCUACAUUUUAAGAUUAGAUCUCAAAUCAGGUAGGACUACCCGCUGAACUUAAGCAUAUCAAUAGGCCGGAAGAAAAGACUAGUGAUAUGGACGUCCAACUUAACUUGGAGUCGAACUCUCCUUUCUACCCUGUGCACUUGUUUGGGAUAGUAACUCUGCAAGAGAGCGAACUCUAUUCCUUAU